AUAUAAUAGUAACUAAUUUAUUAUUGCCUCUAGGGCAUAUUUCCAACACUCUCAUCAAUAGAGACCCAAUCCAGAAGAUGCCAUGUCGUCACAUAGAUAUCAAAGAAGAGCAGUCUCUUCUUUCCUAGUUGUCCUAUCGUCAAAACCGGUGAUAGAUCUAUAGAAAUCAAUCAUGCAUGUCAUUCACUAGUGAUAUGGCGUUUGCCCACGAGAUAGGUGUUGGCUAAAUCAGCACCCAAAUUGGUGAAACAGUUACCAUGUGUCCGCCGCCAUGGUUGGUAAUACUCGUACUCUCUUGUAGCUAGCCACACCCUUCACACUUUUUUUCCUUAAGUCCUCUUGCAAACUAUGGGAUGAGGAUUUUACGUCUGCUCGAUAAGCACAAUGUUGCCUAACAAUGGAGCAUGUCUUCUGGGCUUAUCUUCGGCUACAUAUAUUUGCAGCUCAUUUGUUCCUACUAAUGAACUUUUGCACGGAACAUCGCCUUGAUCCUAUUAGUAUUCGAGAACGGUGGUGAUCCUCGAGUGACUAUGGAUGUGUGACAAUGGAAGAUAGAAGAAAAUCAGGAAAGAAGAAGACCGCAGAGCAUUUAGAUUGGUGUUGCCAUGUUGCAUCUUUGUGGUUGGGUCUCACUUGGUAAGAGGAAAGACCCGGUCGUAUUGGAUUGUUUUCUGACAGUACUUGAGCCAUAGCCUUCACUUGUCUUUGACUAGUCCUUGCGAGUUCAUGAUCAACGGUCUUGCUACUCCUCUCUCCCUUGCCAUGUCACAUAUUCGUCAUGGCCUUGCCCAUGUAAGUAAUGGAGUUCUUUUUUAUGAUUGUUUUUCUCCCUCAAACGAUAAUACGAAAGCAUGUGAAUUGAUUUCCUCUACUAAAUUUAGUGAUUAGUCUUCAAAUCUUACCCAUAUUUAUAAAUGUUGCCGACGAGACCAAGGAUAAUUGGCUUGUUAAAUAUCCAUAGUCAUUUUGUUCUUAAGUUAUUUGUGCUGCUCCUGGAAAAAUUAGACAUCCAUAAAACGUUGAGCCAUGCAGACAUUGUAUAUUCCAUUCACAUAUAUGUUUGCUUCAAGUUGGCUAGACGAAUGAACACCUAGGCUAUUCCAAGAUGUUCAUGUUCAAUUUCAUUAGACCUUAGCGGAUUGGCGAUUCUGAUUACUGAUUGACCGGCUUAACUCGAUG
RNAcentral lists this long non-coding RNA (1179 nucleotides) under Hordeum vulgare. RNAcentral describes it as "long non-coding RNA (HVUL_LNC017547)". The record is from RNAcentral. Lineage: Eukaryota; Viridiplantae; Streptophyta; Magnoliopsida; Poales; Poaceae.